UCAGACGAUGCGUCAUGCAUAUCAAUAAGCGGAGGAAAAGAAACUAACAAGGAUUCCCCUAGUAACGGCGAGUGAAGCGGGAAGAGCUCAAAUUUGAAAUCUUAAAGGGUUUCCCUUUACGGAAUUGUAGUUUAAAGAAGUGUUUUCUGUUGAGGUUUUGGUAAAAGUUCUUUGGAAUAGGACAUCAUAGAGGGUGAGAAUCCCGUAUUUGACCUUUACUUUCAACUUUGUGAUACACUUUCAAAGAGUCGGAUUGUUUGGGAAUGCAGUCCAAAAUGGGUGGUAAAUUUCAUCUAAAGCUAAAUAUUGGCGAGAGACCGAUAGCGAACAAGUACCGUGAGGGAAAGAUGAAAAGAACUUUGAAAAGAGAGUUAAACAGUACGUGAAAUUGUCAAAAGGGAAGCGUUUGACACCAGUGUUGUUUUUCUGAAAAUCAAUUAAAGAACUGUUUAUGCUAAGCUGUUUAGACUUUAUCAGCUAUCUGUUUAGUUUUAGGCUUUUCUUUAAUGCACUUUUCAGUUAACAAGUCAACAUCAAUUUCUUUUGCUGUAAAAAAGCUUGAGGAAGGUGGCUUGAGAUUCGUCUUAAGUGUUUAUAGCCUCUUGCCUAUGCAGUCGGAGAGAUUGAGGUCUGCAGCGUAGAUCCUUCGGGGCUAAAUGCAUUUGUGCUAGGUUAUAGCAUUUUAUAGACAACUUGUUGACUAUGAUUUGUCUUGUAGCUUACUCGCUUAUGUUAUUUUACCUACGCUUAGGAUGUUGACACACGCGCGUGCUCG
This 775-nucleotide ribosomal RNA is filed under the name uncultured Neocallimastigales. Its description in RNAcentral is "partial large subunit ribosomal RNA". It matches the Rfam family "Eukaryotic large subunit ribosomal RNA", at positions 18 to 643 of the family's 3401-position model. The record is from RNAcentral. Lineage: Eukaryota; Fungi; Neocallimastigomycota; Neocallimastigomycetes; Neocallimastigales.